Molecule: transfer RNA, 72 nt
Filed under: Camelus bactrianus (Bactrian camel)
Lineage: Eukaryota; Metazoa; Chordata; Mammalia; Artiodactyla; Camelidae
Also listed under: 2 other names
Rfam family: tRNA
About the family: Transfer RNA (tRNA) molecules are approximately 80 nucleotides in length.
Source: Rfam by way of RNAcentral
GAGGGUAUAUCUCAGUGGUAGAGUGCCUGCUUAGCAUGCACAAGGUCCUGGGUUCAAUCCCCAGUACCUUCA